CAACGACUCUCGGCAACGGAUAUCUCGGCUCUCGCAUCGAUGAAGAACGUAGCGAAAUGCGAUACGUGGUGUGAAUUGCAGAAUCCCGUGAACCAUCGAGUCUUUGAACGCAAGUUGCGCCCGAAGCCGUCAGGCCGAGGGCACGUCUGCCUGGGCGUCACGC
Molecule: ribosomal RNA, 163 nt
Filed under: Tiquilia gossypina
Lineage: Eukaryota; Viridiplantae; Streptophyta; Magnoliopsida; Boraginales; Ehretiaceae
Description: 5.8S ribosomal RNA
Rfam family: 5.8S ribosomal RNA
About the family: 5.8S ribosomal RNA (5.8S rRNA) is a component of the large subunit of the eukaryotic ribosome. It is transcribed by RNA polymerase I as part of the 45S precursor that also contains 18S and 28S rRNA.
Source: RNAcentral